Molecule: unclassified non-coding RNA, 400 nt
Filed under: soil metagenome
Description: partial contains 5.8S ribosomal RNA, internal transcribed spacer 2, and large subunit ribosomal RNA
Rfam family: 5.8S ribosomal RNA (bases 1-122)
Source: RNAcentral
GAUGAAGAACGCAGCGAAAUGCGAUACUUGGUGUGAAUUGCAGAAUCCCGUGAACCAUCGAGUCUUUGAACGCAAGUUGCGCCUCAAGCCAUUAGGUUGAGGGCACGUCUGCCUGGGCGUCACAUAUCGUUGCCUGAUGCCAGUUUCCUCGUGAUGGGUGACUGUGCAGGGCGAAUGAUGGCUUCCCGUGAGCAUUGUUGCCUCAUGGUUGGUUGAAAAUUGAGUCCUUGGUAGGGAGCGCCGUGAUAGAUGGUGGUUGAGUGACGAACGAGACCCAAUCAUGUGAGACCCCUACCGAAUUUGGCCUUCAUGACCCACAUGCGUCUUUGGAACGCUCAUGACGAGACCUCUGGUCAGGCGGGGCUACCCGCUGAGUUUAAGCAUAUCAAUAAGCGGAGGA